This 125-nucleotide small RNA is filed under the name Marmota monax (woodchuck). The record is from RNAcentral. Lineage: Eukaryota; Metazoa; Chordata; Mammalia; Rodentia; Sciuridae.
GCCAGGCACAGUGGCCCAUGCCUGUAAUCCCAGCAGCUCAGGAGGUUGAGGCAGGAGGAUCACAAGUUCAAAGCCAGCCUCAGCAAUGGUGAGGCACUAAGCAACUCAGUGAGACCCUGUCUCUA